AAGCACCACCAAGAUCCUUUGGCAUUUGAAAUCAUUUGGAAUUCUGUUUUUUUAUUCUGAGUUUAUAGUUUUAGAUAUUGGUAUAUUAAGGAGGGAAAGUUCUUUUAUGAAGAAAUAGGGAGGUAUCUCAAAGUGUAUUUUUUAUGUUGCAACUGAAUUGGAACUUUCAUAGGUAUCAACUGUAUUAUUUUCUCUUCAAAAAGAUCUCUUUCCUGUCUGGU
RNAcentral lists this long non-coding RNA (221 nucleotides) under Olea europaea (common olive). Its description in RNAcentral is "long non-coding RNA (OEUR_LNC010890)". The record is from RNAcentral. Lineage: Eukaryota; Viridiplantae; Streptophyta; Magnoliopsida; Lamiales; Oleaceae.